UACGGGGGGGGCAAGCGUUGUUCGGAAUUACUGGGCGUAAAGGGCUCGUAGGUGGCCAACUAAGUCAGACGUGAAAUCCCUCAGCUUAACUGGGGAACUGCGUCUGAUACUGGAUGGCUUGAAUUUGGGAGAGGGAUGCGGAAUUCCAGGUGUAGCGGUGAAAUGCGUAGAUAUCUGGAGGAACACCGGUGGCGAAGGCGGCAUCCUGGACCAACACUGACACUGAGGCACGAAAGCUAGGGGAGCAAACAGG
Molecule: ribosomal RNA, 253 nt
Filed under: uncultured bacterium
Lineage: Bacteria
Description: partial 16S ribosomal RNA
Rfam family: Bacterial small subunit ribosomal RNA
Source: RNAcentral